This 245-nucleotide ribosomal RNA is filed under the name uncultured bacterium. RNAcentral's name for it is "partial 16S ribosomal RNA". It matches the Rfam family "Bacterial small subunit ribosomal RNA", at positions 79 to 339 of the family's 1533-position model. The record is from RNAcentral.
CUUGCUCUUAUAGUUAGUGGCGAACGGGUGAGUAACGCGUGGGAAUCUGCCCUGGAGUGGGGAACAACAGUUGGAAACGACUGCUAAUACCGCAUACGCUCUACGGAGGAAAGGCUUCGGCCGCUCCAGGAUGGUCCCGCGUCUGAUUAGCUUGUUGGUGGGGUAACGGCCUACCAAGGCGACGAUCAGUAGCUGGUCUGAGAGGAUGAUCAGCCACACUGGGACUGAGACACGGCCCAGACUCC